UACGUAGGGGGCAAGCGUUGUCCGGAUUUAUUGGGCGUAAAGCGCUCGCAGGUGGUUCGAUGCGUCGUGCGUGAAAGACCCCGGCUCAACUGGGGAGGGUCGUGCGAUACGGUCGAACUGGAGGCCAGUAGGGGGAUGCGGAAUUCCUGGUGUAGCGGUGAAAUGCGCAGAUAUCAGGAAGAACACCAAUGGCGAAAGCAGCUUUCUGGGACGGUACUGACGCUGAGACGCGAAAGCGUGGGGAGCGAACAGG
RNAcentral lists this ribosomal RNA (253 nucleotides) under uncultured bacterium. RNAcentral describes it as "partial 16S ribosomal RNA". It matches the Rfam family "Bacterial small subunit ribosomal RNA", at positions 524 to 776 of the family's 1533-position model. The record is from RNAcentral.